ACCAAUUUAGCCUAGUGGUAAGUCGUCGGACUGUUAAUCCGGAGGUGCGGAUUUGAUGCCCGUUGGUG
This 68-nucleotide transfer RNA is filed under the name Aedes aegypti (yellow fever mosquito). It matches the Rfam family "tRNA". From Rfam's summary of the family: Transfer RNA (tRNA) molecules are approximately 80 nucleotides in length. Their secondary structure includes four short double-helical elements and three loops (D, anti-codon, and T loops). Lineage: Eukaryota; Metazoa; Arthropoda; Insecta; Diptera; Culicidae. The record is from Rfam by way of RNAcentral.